This 500-nucleotide ribosomal RNA is filed under the name uncultured bacterium. Its description in RNAcentral is "partial 16S ribosomal RNA". It matches the Rfam family "Bacterial small subunit ribosomal RNA", at positions 30 to 523 of the family's 1533-position model. The record is from RNAcentral.
AUUGAACGCUGGCGGAAUGCUUUACACAUGCAAGUCGAACGGUAACAGGGUGCUUGCACCGCUGACGAGUGGCGAACGGGUGAGUAAUGCGUCGGAACGUGCCGAGUAGUGGGGGAUAACGCAGCGAAAGUUGUGCUAAUACCGCAUACGUACUGAGGUAGAAAGUGGGGGACCUUCGGGCCUCACGCUAUUCGAGCGGCCGACGUCUGAUUAGCUAGUAGGUGAGGUAAAGGCUCACCUAGGCGACGACCAGUAGCGGGUCUGAGAGGAUGGUCCGCCACACUGGGACUGAGACACGGCCCAGACUCCUACGGGAGGCAGCAGUGGGGAAUUUUGGACAAUGGGCGAAAGCCUGAUCCAGCCAUGCCGCGUGUCUGAAGAAGGCCUUCGGGUUGUAAAGGACUUUUGUCAGGGAGGAAAUCCCUAGUGCUAAUAACACUGGGGGAUGACAGUACCUGAAGAAUAAGCACCGGCUAACUACGUGCCAGCAGCCGCAGUAA